UCUCCUACGGGAGGCAGCAGUGGGGAAUUGUUCGCAAUGGGCGCAAGCCUGACGACGCAACGCCGCGUGGAGGAUGAAGAUCUUCGGGUCGUAAACUCCUUUCGAUCGAGACGAAUGGCCCUUGGGCUAAUCACCAGGGGAAUGACGGUACCGAGAGAAGAAGCCCCGGCUAACUCCGUGCCAGCAGCCGCGGUAAUACGGGGGGGGCAAGCGUUGUUCGGAAUUACUGGGCGUAAAGGGCUCGUAGGCGGCCAACUAAGUCAGACGUGAAAUCCCUCGGCUCAACCGGGGAACUGCGUCUGAUACUGGAUGGCUUGAAUCCGGGAGAGGGAUGCGGAAUUCCAGGUGUAGCGGUGAAAUGCGUAGAUAUCUGGAGGAACACCGGUGGCGAAGGCGGCAUCCUGGACCGGCAUUGACGCUGAGGAGCGAAAGCCAGGGGAGCAAACGGGAUUAGAUACCCCGGUAGUCCA
This 470-nucleotide ribosomal RNA is filed under the name uncultured bacterium. RNAcentral's name for it is "bacterial SSU rRNA". It matches the Rfam family "Bacterial small subunit ribosomal RNA", at positions 335 to 797 of the family's 1533-position model. The record is from RNAcentral.